RNAcentral lists this ribosomal RNA (561 nucleotides) under uncultured Thermoplasmatales archaeon. Its description in RNAcentral is "bacterial SSU rRNA". It matches the Rfam family "Archaeal small subunit ribosomal RNA", at positions 339 to 903 of the family's 1478-position model. The record is from RNAcentral. Lineage: Archaea; Methanobacteriati; Thermoplasmatota; Thermoplasmata; Thermoplasmatales.
UCGCGAAAACUUGUCAAUGGGGGAAACCCCGAACAGGGAAGUCCAAGUGCAUGCGUUUUACGUAUGCUGUUCGGUUGUCUAAAACACAGCUGAAGUAAGGGCUGGGUAAGACAGGUGCCAGCCGCCGCGGUAAUACCUGCAGCCCAAGUGGUAAUCGUUAUUAUUGAGCCUAAAGCGUCCGUAGCCGGUUUGGUAAACCCUCGGGUAAAUCGGGCAGCUUAACUGUCCGAAUUCCGGGGGGACUGCCAGACUUGGGACCGGGAGAGGUCAGAGGUACUUCAGGGGUAGGGGCUAAAUCCUGUAAUCCUUGAAGGACCACCAGUGGCGAAGGCGUCUGACUAGAACGGAUCCGACGGUAAGGGACGAAACCCUGGGGCGCAAACCGGAUUAGAUACCCGGGUAGUCCUAGGCGUAAAUGAUGCGAGUUAAGUGUGGGGGCAUCCACGAGAUGGCCCUGUGCUGUAGGGUAGCCGUUAAACUCGCCGCCUGGGGAGUACGGUCGCAAGGCUGAAACUUAAAGGAAUUGGCGGGGGAGCACACAAGAGGUGGAGGCUGCGGUUC